ACAGAGGGGGCAAGCGUUGUUCGGAAUUACUGGGCGUAAAGGGCGCGUAGGCGGCCUGCUAAGUCGAACGUGAAAUCCCCGGGCUUAACCUGGGAACUGCAUUUGUGACUGCAUCGCUGGAGUGCGGCAGAGGGGGAUGGAAUUCCGCGUGUAGCAGUGAAAUGCGUAGAUAUGCGGAGGAACACCGAUGGCGAAGGCAAUCCCCUGGGCCUGCACUGACGCUCAUGCACGAAAGCGUGGGGAGCAAACGGGA
Molecule: ribosomal RNA, 253 nt
Filed under: uncultured prokaryote
Description: partial 16S ribosomal RNA
Rfam family: Bacterial small subunit ribosomal RNA
Source: RNAcentral